This 253-nucleotide ribosomal RNA is filed under the name uncultured bacterium. RNAcentral describes it as "partial 16S ribosomal RNA". It matches the Rfam family "Bacterial small subunit ribosomal RNA", at positions 524 to 776 of the family's 1533-position model. The record is from RNAcentral.
UACGGGGGGAGCAAGCGUUGUUCGGAAUUAUUGGGCGUAAAGAGCUCGUAGGCGGUUUGUCGCGUCUGCCGUGAAAACCCGAGGCUUAACCUCGGGCUGGCGGUGGAUACGGGCAGACUAGAGUGUGGUAGGGGAGACUGGAAUUCCUGGUGUAGCGGUGAAAUGCGCAGAUAUCAGGAGGAACACCGAUGGCGAAGGCAGGUCUCUGGGCCACUACUGACGCUGAGAAGCGAAAGCAUGGGGAGCGAACAGG